AACACCCCAUUUUCCCCUUUGCACUUUUGAUUAUCUUGCUGUAUCUCUUUUUCUUUCUCCCAAAGUCCCCUUCCCACUUUUGUUUUGUGUGACCCACUGAAUUUAAUUAGUAUUAAUAGCUCAAGUAUGACUACGGUGUCAUAUUUAUUGAAUAUUUAUUGAAGAAUUGCACAAAUCAGUAGUGACACCACUUAAGAAAGCAACAAUGGCUCCCCCAGCAAUUAUUAAUUGCCAGUAGUCCCUCGGGGAGUGAUAGAGACCCAUGGACUUCUUUCAAAGAGGCCAUGAUUCUUGUCUCUUUUCUAAAAAUUCUAGGACUAUCAGGUAAGAAGAAUCCUUAGAGAUAGCCAAGCUUUUAUAUCCAGAUCUAGCCAUCCUCCCCACAAAUUGUGAUUUGGCUGAGAGCUUCCUGAACUGUGGUUGGUCAUCAGCAUCUUCUUACAUGUUCCAGGCUAGCAUGAUGAUCUGUUUUGCGCUGAUUCUGAACUCCCAUUGAAUAGCUCCUUGUCAACAGUAAAUAGCAAUUUUAGAAUUGGUUUCUGACAACAGCUGCAAUCAAACAUGGAGGGAGAGUCGCUGACACCUGUGCACACGUGACAAUCCUACCAAUCUUUCCUUCCUUCCACAAUUGUUCUCUGACUACAUCUUUUCAAGGCUCUCUU
RNAcentral lists this long non-coding RNA (662 nucleotides) under Mus spicilegus (steppe mouse). RNAcentral describes it as "lncRNA (ENSMSIG00000005848.1)". Lineage: Eukaryota; Metazoa; Chordata; Mammalia; Rodentia; Muridae. The record is from RNAcentral.